Molecule: ribosomal RNA, 508 nt
Filed under: uncultured bacterium
Lineage: Bacteria
Description: partial 16S ribosomal RNA
Rfam family: Bacterial small subunit ribosomal RNA
Source: RNAcentral
GAUGAACGCUAGCUACAGGCUUAACACAUGCAAGUCGAGGGGAAACGAUAGAGAAAGCUUGCUUUUUCUAGGCGUCGACCGGCGCACGGGUGAGUAACGCGUAUCCAACCUGCCCAUCACUUGGGGAUAACCUUGCGAAAGUAAGACUAAUACCCAAUGACGUCUCUAGAAGACAUCUGAAAGAGAUUAAAGAUUUAUCGGUGAUGGAUGGGGAUGCGUCUGAUUAGAUUGUUGGCGGGGUAACGGCCCACCAAGGCGACGAUCAGUAGGGGUUCAGAGAGAAAGGUCCCACACAUUGGAGCUGAGACAGGGUGCAAACUCAUAAGGGAGGCAGCAGUGAGGAAUAUUGGUCAAUGGGCGAGAGCCUGAACCAGCCAAGUAGCGUGCAGGAUGACGGCCCUAUGGGUUGUAAACUGCUUUUAUAAGGGAAUAAAGUGAGAGUCGUGACUCUUUUUGCAUGUACCUUAUGAAUAAGGACCGGCUAAUUCCGUGCCAGCAGCCGCCGUAA